ACUAACGAUCUCUCCCUGCGCCUGGGAACUCGAUCUGGAUCACGGCGGCGGCGGCGGCGGCGACGACUCCUCUCUCUCUCUCCGCGCACCGACGCAUCCCCCGGAGCCCUGCCCACCUCCUCCCUUUUCAGCGCGCACAUCGCGACCCCUGUGGCUACUCCACUCUUGAGGCGUCGUGGAGGUUACGGAAACCCGAUGGCGUUGGCUUGCCGGAGAUGAAGAAGACAGCCAGGUGAUGCGGUACUCGGGAGGUGGAAUUGGCAACGGAGGUGGCUCCAUAUGGAUGCCGCGGACCUCCCACUGGAUGGAAUCGAAGUGGGACGAUGUGCUUCGGUCGUCAACGACGGCUGCGCGGGAUGCAGUAUGGUAUGGAUCGGGCAUCUCGAGGAUGGGCUCUCUUCGCAAGGCCUCCUCCACGCCACAGCGGAGGUGUUUGAGGAGUCUGUCCCGGGGCUGCUCGUGAAGCAUGUCGACGUCUCCGUCUUGCCAUUGCUCAAAACACCGCCCUGCCGGCCGGGGUCCUUAUUUGCCAUCGAGGCCUUCCGCAACAGGGUCCAUGAUGCCUGAUUGCUUCCUCUUCGGCUGGAUCGGGUCCAACCACACAAUUAUUGUACUACUGUCUUGAGUGGCAAAUAUUUACUGAGAUGGGAUAAUAGGUAUACUAUUUUUCGAUUUCAAGACUGAAAUAUGAUUUCUUCCUGCUCUAUGUCAAUUUAAUUUUUUCCUGAAUAAUUUACCAACACAGUGCAGGUUGAUGUGUGUAGCACGUGUUAACAAAAUCUCAAUUAUCUGCAUGGUAUAUAUAUCUCUAAUAAUUGUCUUUUCCAGAAUGAAGAGAAGGUAUGAGAAAGAUAAUACUAAUAUUCCCGAUACAUUUGACAUUUAACUUUUACCAGAUUCUUGGAUUCCUCAAAAUCAUGUCUGUUAGCGUUUCUUCUAUAUAUAUAUGCAUGAUCUUUCCUUUUGAAAUUCUCAUCAUGUACAUGAUUUUUGCUACUGCUGGCCUUGAAUUGGCACUGAUUUGGGCCACCUUGUUGAAUGAUUCGUGCACUGAUGUGUUUCGUUGGUCUUUUGCGGCAUGUGGGGAGCGUAAACUGGAAGAACGUGUGCAGCAGGCAUCGCUGCUGCGCUGGACGACGUUGUGCGAGGCCAUGGCCAUGGACGAUGUGCUGUUGGAGAACGACGCAUGACUAAGGUAGUCGAUGUGAACGACCACUGGAAUUCCAAUUGCUUAUGGAUUUGUAUGAUGCAGCCUACAUGUUCCCAUCAUCCAGUAAAAUAUAGACAUCAAUUAUUGCAUCUGGGUUUAUAUUAUGCAUCCCCGCUGCCAGUUUCAUUGUUAAGUAGGAACGCAGAUUACAUUUAUAAAUGAUAUAUGUAUGUAAUUGUGUGCUGCAUUCUUGCUGCUUCCAGUAGAUGUACUAUCUUUUCAGCGUUGACUUUUAAAGCGUUUUUGCUGACAAGAAGCUUAUCAGUCGUAAUGUUCAGCACCUACAUUACCUGAUGGUCAUGUAGUGCUAGGGAAAUAGAUAUUAAUGUGGGAAAUAGAUAUACAAUAUGUUAUAAAGGAUAAGACAAAUAAUUAUUGGGUGUGAAAGAUCAGGAUGGAAGCAUUUUUUUUGCUAUCAUAUGAAUUAUUGAAUACAAUCUCGUAUGCAACCCCUCAAAAUUAGAUUUAAUUCAUGCUCGUACACCAUCACUUAAGUAGGAAAAGAGAAGUAUUUCUAAGGCUACUCUAUAUCUUAUUUUUCUUUCACAACAUAUAUAUUAUUAGUUAUAUGUUUGCUUGGGUAGGAAAGUAACAAUCAAUCCCUCAAAAUAAAAGGAAACUAAUGAUCAAGACCUUAGCUGGCUGACGGUAACUCCAUUCAUUCUCUUCCAAUUAUUAUUAUUUUAGUUAUUUUUCUAUUCUCAUGGGUAGGAAUUCUUCUGUGUUGUUUUGCUUUAGUUUCGUAGUUGUCACUCCCAUGUAUCUCUUCGACGAGGAGACGUGGACACGAGGCCUAACUAUCCGGUAUAAAUUGGUUUUCCCACUGUCGCUGUGAGAUUGGAUUGUUGUUCCCUUUUCUGCACAUGAUUGUUCCACUUGUGAUUUAUCAUAUAUGAAUUGCUACUUGACAUCCUUUUGAUCCAGCAUGAUUUCUUGCUUCUUCUCAUCUUGUUGACUACUGGUUGUGUUUGUUCUCUCGCCAAAGGCCGGGACUUUGAGUUGCCUGCCAUGGUGGAGCUCGGGAUGUUGGCAGAUCUGACCGGACUGGUGAGCACUCUGCCCACACCUGCCGAGGUCGCCCUGCUCUGUGCCAUGCUCGUGCCAUUUGGAGUAACAGUCUACAAUGCCACAACACUUCGUUGGACCUAUUUUUGGCGUUUCUUCUGCCAGCUGAUGAGUCUUUCAGGGAUGCAAAUUGUCUGCCUUCGGAAAAUCAGAAGAAUGAAAGAAUGGGAUUUAUAGCAUAUAUGCUCUAUGUGCAGCUGAUGAAGCUUUGAGAGAUGAAAAUUGGUUGCCUUCGGAAAAUAAGAAGAAGGAAAGAACGGGUGUUUCAAUUGGUGGGGGAAUCGGAAGCAUCUCAGACAUUUUAAAUGCAUGACUGCUGAUUGCUGAAAAUGAAAUAUGCAGUUAUGGAUCCAUUCUAUAGUUGGAAUAUGAGACUCCAUAUAUGUGUGUAUGUUUAUUUUUGCUUGAAUCUGGUGCUGAAGGUGUGAACAGCAAUUUGCAACGUCGUGGCAAGGUUCAGUUCGGCAAGGAGACCAAUGAGGCAGCUACUUGUACAAUGUCCAAGCCGAUUGUACUCUGGCCUGUCAAACAAGAAGACUCGAUGCAACUAGCUACUGAAAAGGAGAUGAAUGUGGUCAUGUUGACAACCAAGACAAAGAAGCAGGAGACCAAGCCUUCUGCGUUCCCCAUUGGCAUGCACAAGGAGUUCCGCAAGAUGGACAAUGUUGUCCAGAAUUAGGUCACUAGCAGCUACUACAUGACCGACUUGACCAAGCCCACUCUUCCAAGACUAUCAAUUUACCGCAACCUCCAAGUUACGGCGACGCAUGGGCGGGGCAGCCACCCCCCAGACCCCGUUAGCACAAUGUCAUAAAAAUAUAUUUAUACUGAUUGUUGCGCAAAGUAGAAGGCUAUUGUUUGUAGUUAUUAGUUUAUUUCCUCUAUAUACAAUGACACGGUUUACUGUGUGUCCAAGAGGAAGGAAAAAUAGAUUUAUAGGUGUUAUGUGACUUACCUUUUAAAAGGAAUAACUUCAUGCUAUUGAGUCUUCACUAUUUGCUUCAC
Molecule: long non-coding RNA, 3280 nt
Organism: Triticum aestivum (bread wheat)
Lineage: Eukaryota; Viridiplantae; Streptophyta; Magnoliopsida; Poales; Poaceae
Exons: 9
Source: RefSeq, a predicted model, not a curated record